AAUUCAAGGGAUCGUGUUUUGAGUUCGGACUUCUGGUAAACAAUAGCUGUGAUAUAGAUAGAGAGUUACUCCGACACACUUAGAUUUUUCCUCUUUUCCUCCCCUCACUCCUCCGUUCACCAACCCUGUCUAUUGUGUCUAUGUCUUUAAGAACCUAAUCUCCUCCCCAGCCGUACCCGUUACAGUUAGCAAAUUAUUGUUAACUUUUGUUGCCUAUUUUAGAAACAAAAGAUUUUUGCCCAAUCUUUUCUUUUGACUUGGUGACUUACUUUUGAUUGAAACUCUAACAAUUUCGUCAUUUCCUUACAAAACAACAACAAUCACCCAGUAAAAUCCCACAAGUGGGGUUUGGGGAGGAUAGUAUGUACGCCAAACUUUACAUCUGCCCUGAGGGGAUAGAGAUGCUGUUUCCAUAGAACCUCGUUGGGGAGGAUAGUAUGUACGCAAACUUUACAUCUGCCCUGAGGGGAUAGAGAUGCUGUUUCCAUAGAACCUCGGCUCAAGAAGACGAAAAGAGACAAUAUAUUAGUACCAUCAACAAAAAACCAUAGAAGUAAUAACAUCACAAGUACCAAUAGGUAGAUGGAAAGCAAAAUUAAUACCCCCU
This 607-nucleotide long non-coding RNA is filed under the name Nicotiana benthamiana. Its description in RNAcentral is "long non-coding RNA (NBEN_LNC035071)". The record is from RNAcentral. Lineage: Eukaryota; Viridiplantae; Streptophyta; Magnoliopsida; Solanales; Solanaceae.